Molecule: non-coding RNA, 909 nt
Organism: Oryctolagus cuniculus (rabbit)
Lineage: Eukaryota; Metazoa; Chordata; Mammalia; Lagomorpha; Leporidae
Source: RefSeq, a predicted model, not a curated record
UUUUGGAGAAUGUAAAAUAAUAGUCCAUAGAUAUUGAAUGCCUAGCAUGUGCCAAGCAGUGUCCUAAAAAUCUUAAUGAUUUUCCAAUACUGUGAGGCAGGAAUUGUUACUGAUUUUUUAGAUGAGGAAAUCAAGGAAUAGAGAGGAUAGAAAACAUGUCCAAUGCCAUGGAGCUAGCAAUUUAAUGACUUCAGUCCAGGCAAUCGGGCUCCAUAGUUAAUGUUCCUGACCAUAUCGUUGUUACAUUCAGUUGCUCCUAUAAUUAAGAAAAUUCUAUUAGCUUACAUUUGCCUCCACUUUCUGUAUUUUAAAAUAUUUUCCCUGUGAUAUAAAUUAUUAUUUCUUAUUUUUCUUGAAGUACAAAAGAAUGUGAUGGAAAAAAAGUAACAUUGUCCAAAAAGUUCUGCUUAAAGUAGGUUUCAGAGUCUGGAGACAGUGUUGUGUAAUGAGGACAUGAGUCCUUCUGCAAUAUCUCCUUAUUAGAAGGAAACUCAGCUUUCACACAAAUCUGCACCACAAUGGUCCCCAAAGAGACAGUGUCCAACUGAAAGUAACGAAUCCAUUCUUGGGAUGGAGGGGAGAUUUGGCCCUGGAACAAUCUGCAUCGUAGUCUUAGUUUUAAGACUACUAAAGAACAUGAAGGACCUCUGUGAGUGAGAUACCAGUGGAAAGAAGGGACCAUCAAAGAAGGAGAAGGUGGUAAUUAAGCUCAUACCUGAAAGAUGAGCAAGAGUUGGCACAAUGUGGAAGAAGCAGCAAUUCCCGCAGAGGAAUAUGAGUGUCCUGAGCGGAGGAUGGCCCAAGUGCUUGUGCCCCUGCAUCCACGUGGGAGACCUGGAAGACGUUCCUGGUUCCUGGCUUCAGCCUGACCCAGCCCCAGCCAUUGCAGCCACUUGGGGAGUGAACCAG